This 99-nucleotide transfer RNA is filed under the name Blattabacterium sp. (Cryptocercus punctulatus) str. Cpu. RNAcentral describes it as "tRNA-Glu". The stretch from base 2 to 73 matches the Rfam family "tRNA". Rfam says of the family: Transfer RNA (tRNA) molecules are approximately 80 nucleotides in length. The record is from RNAcentral. Lineage: Bacteria; Pseudomonadati; Bacteroidota; Flavobacteriia; Flavobacteriales; Blattabacteriaceae.
UGGCCCAUUCGUCUAUUGGUUAGGACGUCAGGUUUUCAUCCUGGAAAGAGGGGUUCGAUUCCCCUAUGGGCUAUCAAAAAAUACUGGAUCAUUCUUAUG